GACGAACGCUGGCGGCGUGCUUAACACAUGCAAGUCGAACGUGAUUUUUGUGGAAAUUCUUUCGGGAAUGGAAAUGAAAUGAAAGUGGCGAACGGGUGAGUAACACGUGAGCAACCUACCUUACACAGGGGGAUAGCCGUUGGAAACGACGAUUAAUACCGCAUGAGACCACAGAAUCGCAUGAUAUAGGGGUCAAAGAUUUAUCGGUGUAAGAAGGGCUCGCGUCUGAUUAGCUAGUUGGAAGGGUAAAGGCCUACCAAGGCGACGAUCAGUAGCCGGUCUGAGAGGAUGAACGGCCACAUUGGAACUGAGACACGGUCCAAACUCCUACGGGAGGCAGCAGUGGGGAAUAUUGCACAAUGGGGGGAACCCUGAUGCAGCGACGCCGCGUGAGCGAAGAAGGUUUUCGAAUCGUAAAGCUCUGUCCUANGAGAAGAUAANGACGGU
Molecule: ribosomal RNA, 447 nt
Filed under: uncultured bacterium
Lineage: Bacteria
Description: bacterial SSU rRNA
Rfam family: Bacterial small subunit ribosomal RNA
Source: RNAcentral